This 253-nucleotide ribosomal RNA is filed under the name uncultured bacterium. RNAcentral describes it as "partial 16S ribosomal RNA". It matches the Rfam family "Bacterial small subunit ribosomal RNA", at positions 524 to 776 of the family's 1533-position model. The record is from RNAcentral.
GACAGAGGCCUCGAGCGUUAGGCGGAAUCACUGGGCUUAAAGCGUGUGUAGGCGGGCCCGUAAGUGUCUUGUGAAAUCCCACGGCUCAACCGUGGAACUGCUGGGCAUACUGCGGGUCUUGGGCCAACUAGGGGCAGCCGGAACAAGCGGUGGAGCGGUGAAAUGCGUAGAUAUCAGGAGGAACACCGGUGGCGAAGGCGGUUCUCUGGGAAUGACCUGACGCUGAGGAGCGAAAGUGUGGGGAGCGAACAGG